Long non-coding RNA from Lacerta agilis (Sand lizard), 126 nucleotides. RefSeq lists it as uncharacterized. The transcript is spliced from 2 exons. NCBI's taxonomy places the organism in Eukaryota, Metazoa, Chordata, Lepidosauria, Squamata, Lacertidae. The record is from RefSeq and is a predicted model, not a curated record.
AUGUAAGGCUUCUGUCCUAAGUAUUCCUGGUUGGAACUUAACUCUUCUCACACUCCAUAGGACUGACUUCAGAGAAGGUAAGUUAAGGAUGGGGCUGUUAAUGCGAAAUACAUUUUAACAAGUCUU